GGAGGAGUGUCAGAGCGGCUUAUUGGCCAGGUCUCGAAAACCUUGGGUCCGGAAACGGACACGCGAGUUCGAAUCUCGCCUCCUCCG
This is a non-coding RNA of Candidatus Roizmanbacteria bacterium, 87 nucleotides long. The record is from Rfam. Lineage: Bacteria; Candidatus Roizmaniibacteriota.